RNAcentral lists this ribosomal RNA (1091 nucleotides) under Staphylococcus aureus GD2010-090. RNAcentral describes it as "bacterial SSU rRNA". It matches the Rfam family "Bacterial small subunit ribosomal RNA", at positions 8 to 1078 of the family's 1533-position model. Lineage: Bacteria; Bacillati; Bacillota; Bacilli; Caryophanales; Staphylococcaceae. The record is from RNAcentral.
AGAGUUUGAUCCUGGCUCAGGAUGAACGCUGGCGGCGUGCCUAAUACAUGCAAGUCGAGCGAACGGACGAGAAGCUUGCUUCUCUGAUGUUAGCGGCGGACGGGUGAGUAACACGUGGAUAACCUACCUAUAAGACUGGGAUAACUUCGGGAAACCGGAGCUAAUACCGGAUAAUAUUUUGAACCGCAUGGUUCAAAAGUGAAAGACGGUCUUGCUGUCACUUAUAGAUGGAUCCGCGCUGCAUUAGCUAGUUGGUAAGGUAACGGCUUACCAAGGCAACGAUGCAUAGCCGACCUGAGAGGGUGAUCGGCCACACUGGAACUGAGACACGGUCCAGACUCCUACGGGAGGCAGCAGUAGGGAAUCUUCCGCAAUGGGCGAAAGCCUGACGGAGCAACGCCGCGUGAGUGAUGAAGGUCUUCGGAUCGUAAAACUCUGUUAUUAGGGAAGAACAUAUGUGUAAGUAACUGUGCACAUCUUGACGGUACCUAAUCAGAAAGCCACGGCUAACUACGUGCCAGCAGCCGCGGUAAUACGUAGGUGGCAAGCGUUAUCCGGAAUUAUUGGGCGUAAAGCGCGCGUAGGCGGUUUUUUAAGUCUGAUGUGAAAGCCCACGGCUCAACCGUGGAGGGUCAUUGGAAACUGGAAAACUUGAGUGCAGAAGAGGAAAGUGGAAUUCCAUGUGUAGCGGUGAAAUGCGCAGAGAUAUGGAGGAACACCAGUGGCGAAGGCGACUUUCUGGUCUGUAACUGACGCUGAUGUGCGAAAGCGUGGGGAUCAAACAGGAUUAGAUACCCUGGUAGUCCACGCCGUAAACGAUGAGUGCUAAGUGUUAGGGGGUUUCCGCCCCUUAGUGCUGCAGCUAACGCAUUAAGCACUCCGCCUGGGGAGUACGACCGCAAGGUUGAAACUCAAAGGAAUUGACGGGGACCCGCACAAGCGGUGGAGCAUGUGGUUUAAUUCGAAGCAACGCGAAGAACCUUACCAAAUCUUGAUAUCCUUUGACAACUCUAGAGAUAGAGCCUUCCCCUUCGGGGGACAAAGUGACAGGUGGUGCAUGGUUGUCGUCAGCUCGUGUCGUGAGAUGUUGG